CCUACAGGAGGCUGCAGUGGGGGAUAUUGCACAAUGGGGGGAACCCUGAUGCAGCGACGCCGCGUGGGUGAAGAAGCGCCUCGGCGCGUAAAGCCCUGUCAGCAGGGAAGAAAAUGACGGUACCUGAAGAAUAAGCCCCGGCUAACUACGUGCCAGCAGCCGCGGUAAUACGUAGGGGGCAAGCGUUAUCCGGAUUUACUGGGUGUAAAGGGGGCGCAGACGGCGAUGCAAGCCAGGAGUGAAAGCACGGGGCCCGACCCCGGGACUGCUCUUGGAACUGCGUGGCUGGAGUGCAGGAUGGGCAGGCGGAAUUCCUGGUGUAGCGGUGAAAUGCGUAGAUAUCAGGAGGAACACCGGUGGCGAAGGCGGCCUGCUGGACUGCAACUGACGUUGAGGCCCGAAAGCGUGGGGAGCAAACAGGAUUAGAUACCCCGGUAGUC
This 440-nucleotide ribosomal RNA is filed under the name uncultured bacterium. RNAcentral's name for it is "partial 16S ribosomal RNA". It matches the Rfam family "Bacterial small subunit ribosomal RNA", at positions 338 to 795 of the family's 1533-position model. The record is from RNAcentral.